Molecule: non-coding RNA, 62 nt
Organism: Anopheles dirus
Lineage: Eukaryota; Metazoa; Arthropoda; Insecta; Diptera; Culicidae
Source: Rfam
CUCUUUGGUUAUCUAGCUGUAUGAGUGCACUUUAAACGUCAUAAAGCUAGCAUACCGAAGUU